CUGUCCUCCAGCUGCUGCCAGGUGCCUCUUCUGGGGUUCACAACCCCUGCCCCAGACUCUUCUGUGAAGACUCGGCCACUCGAUCGAGAGGAGUCCUUCUGGAACAAAGCCAGGCUUCUUUCUGAGGCUUGCCAUGGUUUUCCACUCUGUAGCAAGUGACAGGGUUUCCUCGUCGGUGGAGGCUAAUGAGUUCAUCUUUUCCAUCCAGACAGACAGUUCAGAGCGAGGCUGGGUAGCACAGAAGGGGUAAACUGAGGCAGGCCAUCAUGCCAAACAUGUCACCGGAAACCAAAGUAUUUUGACAGCACAGAAGAAUGGUCCAUCUGGAGGUUUGGGGUCCCGCUAAGCAGGCGAGCCAUCCUAAACAAAUGGAUUGACUGCUUCCGGCACCAUCACUUAACUUCUGCUCCCGGACUGACAUCCGGAGUUUAACUCCUGACAGCUGGGACACAGGCAAAAGGAAACCUUUUUAAUUUAUAGUAAGCAAAGACAAGUUUCUUCCCCUCCCCUUCCUGGCUCAUUUAAAGGGCCAGAGUCACUUGAAACAGUAACGUCUUACAAAGUUCUUGAUGCGAAACUUCUCAGGAGUGUUCCAAAGCUCUAGAAAAGGGUGUGUCUGUUCAAAUACCAUAAGACAGAAAUAUUCUUAAAAUUUCCUUCAGGUAUUAAAGCUUCAAGACCUUCUUUUAAAAAAGAAAAACAAUGAUAUAACCAGGUACAGUAAUGCACACCUAUGAGCCCAGCACUCGGGGAGUCAGAAGCAGGUGGAUCUCUGUGAGUUGAAGGCCAGCCUGAUCUACAAAGCAAGUCCAUUACAGCCAAGGCUACACAGAGAAACCUUGUCUAGAAAAACCAAACAACCAAACAAACAAAACACCUUAAACACACACACACACACACACACACACAUACACACAAAGCAAACAAUAAAAAAAAAUUGAUGUAAUCAUUGAGGAACACUUAAAUUAAAAAAAAAAGAUUUGCAAUAGAUACAGCGGGUCGGGAGGAAAAAAAUCUCUGCUUUAAACAAAACCUAUGUUUUCUCAGCAAGAAUGAGUUCAGGGGUGAAAAAUAAAGUUAAUUUCAAUUUUAUUAAUGAUAUCUGAAAUGAAAUGUUAUAAGUCUCCCUUCCAACCUUGUAGCUAGACACCUGGGAUAUUUAUUUCUCCUUUGGAGAGAACAUGAGUGGCUGUUACCUUUGAGCAACACACACAUUUAAUUGAUGAAGGCGAGGA
Meriones unguiculatus (Mongolian gerbil) is the source of this 1235-nucleotide long non-coding RNA. RefSeq lists it as uncharacterized. The transcript has 3 exons. NCBI's taxonomy places the organism in Eukaryota, Metazoa, Chordata, Mammalia, Rodentia, Muridae. The record is from RefSeq and is a predicted model, not a curated record.